UUAACUUUUGUAAGCAUUUUAUUAACAAAGUUUAUUUUUUUCUUCUUUAAUUCAUUAAUUUAAGCCAUUAGAUAUAGAAAUAGAGAAAUGCCAAAUUUUGGUCAAACUUUAAAGAAAGGAUCAACAAUGAAAAUAUGCCAUCUUGACAAAGAAAUAUGUUAAGUAAGAAUAUAUAACUCUUAAGCACAAUAGAAAGUUUACAUAUUUCUAAAAAUCGUUAUGUGAUCGAAAACACGAAUGAUCAAGUUGUUUAAUAUGAAAUAGUGAGAGUUCAAUGCAUAUAAAAAAAAUGCAUGGCCUUCUAAAUUGGUCAGCUUAUACUCUGGUCAUGUUGUGCUAAAACACAAUCUUCAUCCACAUUGUUGUUAAGGUAUCGAACAUUCUAGGUUCUUAUAAAGCCUAUUCUCAGUAAGAAGUUCUAAUCCUACCAAAACAGGGGUUUUAGAUUGCAUGUACUUAUGAAAAGGAUAAUUGAUUUAUUCUAUUUAGUUUGAGUACAGUAUAAGUUAUUACAAAUUUCUAAUUUCUGUAUGUACAGGACGAAGAUUUCACAUUGGGAGCAUACGAGAUGUGAAUGUGAUUCAUGUUAUGUCUGGCCGACGAAGGUUGAAUGCAGGCGUCACAGUGCAGAUUCUUUCGGACAUUUUUAGCGUUCGAGGAAUCGUUCAUUAUGGGACUACAGGUAGCGCCAAUGAUUCCAUGUCGUUUGGCGAUGUUAGCAUUCCUAAGUAUGUGGCCUUUACGGGAUCAUGGACAUGGACGCAUGAACUUGAAUAAUGGAUGGCCAAGGUGGUUCGGACCAUCAGUGAGUGAAUUAGAUGGCCAGUCAAUGAAAUUUGACUCAGAAACAAAGAUGGCUAAUAUGCUUAGCUUUGCAGCAUAUAACGCUCCAGCAGAGGGGAAGAACUUGCUCUCAAGUGUAGUUUUUAAGUCUGAAGAUUUGUUUGUAGAUGGAAAGCCCAUGGAUCAAGUGUUUUGGUUGCAGAUGGAGUCACAAUGGUAUGAAAUUGCCAAGCAACUUAAGGUAGAAUUGCAAAGGUGUGCAAAUGAAAGUUUUUGCUUGCCAGAUGAUCCUAAAAUGGUAUUUGGGCUGAAAGCAUCAACAGCUGAUGUGUUCAUAGACAAUGCUGCUUACCGACAAUUUCUAUUUAAUGAAUUUGGUGUUUCGACUGUGGAUCAGGAAAGUGCAGCUGUUGUGCAGACUGCUAUGGCUUCCGGAAUACCAGUAAUUGUAUUCAGAGGAGUGUCUGAUUUGGCUGGGGGAGAAGCAACCUGGUCAUCUUCCUUCUUAGGAGAUCUUGCUUGUAUAAAUGCUCUCAAAGCAGCUGUGGAAUUUAUUGGAAUUCUUGGAAGAAGGAAAAUAUUGAGUUCAAGCUAGAGUUUGGAUCUUUGCAGGUGACUAAGAAAUAACCAAGAUGGAUGGUUUAAAGUGCAUGCCAAUCAUGGGGUGUAAAUGAGUCGAGCCGAGCUCGAGUCAUGCCUAACUUGAGCUCAACUCACCUGCCAAAUCACUAUUUGAACUCGAGCUCGAGCUUGGCUAGUACAAUAAAGAGAAGUUCACGAGCCAGCUCAUGAGCUCACAGUAAAAGGGUUGGUUUGCUGCCCAAUGCUCAAAGCUGGAGAAGAAGAAGACGAUGUUGCAUUUUUUCUUGUAUAGCGUGGACACGAUCAUAGCUGUGGAAGACU
RNA transcript from Dendrobium catenatum, 1686 nucleotides. It is a transcript of the gene named bark storage protein A, with no coding region annotated. NCBI's taxonomy places the organism in Eukaryota, Viridiplantae, Streptophyta, Magnoliopsida, Asparagales, Orchidaceae. The transcript is spliced from 8 exons. The record is from RefSeq and is a predicted model, not a curated record.